This 253-nucleotide ribosomal RNA is filed under the name uncultured bacterium. Its description in RNAcentral is "partial 16S ribosomal RNA". It matches the Rfam family "Bacterial small subunit ribosomal RNA", at positions 524 to 776 of the family's 1533-position model. The record is from RNAcentral.
UACGGAGGGUGCGAGCGUUGUCCGGAAUCACUGGGCGUAAAGGGCGCGUAGGUGGAGCGGUAAGUCAACGGUGAAAGCUUGGGGCUCAACCCCGAGUCGGCCGUCGAUACUUCUGGGCUUGAGCACUGUAGAGGCAGGUGGAAUUCCGGGUGUAGCGGUGGAAUGCGUAGAGAUCCGGAAGAACACCGGUGGCGAAGGCGGCCUGCUGGGCAGAUACUGACGCUGAGGUGCGAAAGCGUGGGGAGCAAACAGG